ACUUCAUUAUUAUACCAGCAAUCCAGCCUGAAGGACUUAGCUCAUAGAUGUCUUCUGAAAUGUGGAAGAAAUACUUUCGUUUGUCAUAAAACCUCAGCAGGAGAUUGGAGUCUGGAAGAGGGAGGGGAGAAGAGGAGGACCUCAGGGAGAUUGUUUUGCUUAUUGGUGUUUAAUUAAAAACCAAACAACUUUUCCUAUUAACUUGAUGCUACUUAUUAAUUGAAAUGAGGAGACUGACUCUGGAUAUUGGGAAAAUUUAUGACCCUAGUAAUCACCAUUCCACUCUCUACUUCUAUGAGUUUGACUAAGAUUCCACAUGUGACCAUUAUUCUGAGUGUUUUAAAAGCAAUAUUUUUCUAUUGAAGAAAUGAAAAUAGCAGUCAUUCAAAAUCCUAUUGUGCUAUCUUUUGAUCAUCAUAAUAAGCAAACGCAAAUAAUUCUCCCUUGGUGAUCCAAUUAAAUGAUUUUAAAAUAUCAGUGUCAAAGCUGUUCCUUCUAAAAUUUAAGGCAAAUCUAAUAGAUUCUAAACAUAGAUUACAAACUCAAACGCCCUCAGGUGCCAGGCAGGAGAGAUUAGAGAGCCGCCUGUCAGAAUGGAGACGCUAGAUUUAGUUUAUCCCCAAUUUGUAAAAGACAGACGCUGGUUGUCUUUUCAGAAUGACAAGAAAUCAAUAGACAAUAUUAUCAAGUGGUCAGAAUCUUGAAAGAAGGCAGAAAUUUAGGUAUAUUUAUUUCUAAUUUCUAAAUGUUGACAAAGAUUUAAAAUUUUAAAAGUACCUUGUAUUUUAAAUUAACCCUGUUGGAAGUCCAGCGUCAGCUGUUGGACUGCUACUUUGCAAUUACGGCAAAGUGGGACAGCUACAACCAUCUUUCUGGUUGAGUGCACUAUCCUCUUUCCCUUUCCGAAUUCACUUAUUUAUUAAACUACAUUUGCUGCUCAAGUCUGGGCUUCCUGGAUGUAAAAAGUUCUCCGUGAUCUGGCAUCACUCUGCCAUCCUGCCUUCAACCCUGCUGCUCCCAUCAGAGUGGCUUCCUUGCAGUCAUCUGACAUAUUCAACAUUGUUUUGCCUUCACUGCUGAGCUCAUGAAGUUGGUCUAUGAAUGUGUCAUAUAGUAGAAAGAAACUGGAUUUGGACAAAAUUCUAUGCUGAUAAAAAGGAUGAUGAGGCCAAUGCUGUGGAUGUAUUUAUAUAUCUGCUGAAUCUGUCAUUUAGGAAUUAGUAAAUAGUUGCUGAAUCCUUUGUUUUAAAUAUCGCGUACUUGAAAACGAUAAAUAAUUUUUCAACCUUUGGUUCUUCAGAUUGAAAAAUUUCAGCUCACAGAAUCUUUCCCAAGAUAGAGAAUUUCUAAACCUGUAAUUAUUUUUGUAACUUGCCUGUAAACUCUCUUUACAUUUUUUAUUCUUUUUGUUUCAAGUCUACAAUAUUUCUCGUUGUUUAGAAUGAAGUUGAUAAUAUUUUAAUAUAAAGCAGAGUUUCUGCAUUCA
Long non-coding RNA from Homo sapiens (human), 1486 nucleotides. Ensembl annotates it as long intergenic non-protein coding RNA 2428. Lineage: Eukaryota; Metazoa; Chordata; Mammalia; Primates; Hominidae. The record is from Ensembl.